RNAcentral lists this long non-coding RNA (1429 nucleotides) under Salvator merianae (Argentine black and white tegu). Its description in RNAcentral is "lncRNA (ENSSMRG00000020225.1)". The record is from RNAcentral. Lineage: Eukaryota; Metazoa; Chordata; Lepidosauria; Squamata; Teiidae.
GUGAAAACGAUGCUUCCGGGUCUUCCUUUACGGCCUGACAUCACUGUGCCUUCACCCCAGAACAUCUGUUACUGCCUUCUGUUCUCCCCAUUCACGUGUCCGUGGGAAUGCCUUGCAAGCAUAAACCUGCCAGGCAACACUCAUGCCCUUCUUCCACCAAUGAGAAUGCUGCGUCCAGCCAGGGCAAGACAGAAAGCGACAGCAAAGCCAAGACCCUCAAUACACUUUGCUUUGAUCCUCCACACCCCUCAUGGAAAUCCUGUGUGUACCACCACUUCCCCCUACUAUUGCCCUGGGUCAGGCAACCAUUUUAUUUAUUUAUUUAUUUAUUUAAGACAUUUAUAUACAGCUUUUCAUUUUAAAAAAUCCCAAAGCACUUUACAAGAACCAUUGAAAACAAGGGUAAAAACACAGAAUAAAAAUUAUUAAGAACACAUAAAAUUUGAGUGAACCUGGUAAAAAGCAAACGAUCACACACAGAACGCCUGAGUAAAAAAUAGGUCUUUAGUAGGUGCCUGUAAUCUGUUAAAGUAAGAGCCUCACAAACAGUAGCGGGGAGGGCGCUCCAAAGGGAAGGUGCCACCACUGAAAAGGCCCAACUGUGACCCAACAUAAGGUAAUAUUCUGUUAUAAGUGGGAGCGUCUCCAGAUGAUCCUAGGACUCUUCCAGAGUUGUAAUGGUGUAGGCAUACUUUAAGAUACCAUGGUCCCAAGUUGUUUAGGNUCUUAUAUUCCAAGCCAAAAAAUUGCAUAUACAGGACAGUGACCUUGCUUUAAAGGCUUGUCAGCUGCAAGAAUAUGCUAAUGUGAUAGCUGAUUUACUCAUUGCAGUUGCUUACCUGGUCUGGAAAAACUGAAUGUUUAGAAACUUUUUGUUUACCCCCCUGCUUCCUCCCAAACAUCUGGCCCCCAUAGUUGGGAGGGUAUAUCAGCAAACUCCUUUUUCUACCCAGUGUCUUUGGCUUCCCCAAAAGUCUAUUCCAUCUCUGCAAGAGCUGAAGUCUGGUCUUUGGCACUGCUAGGUCCACUCCAUCGUUACUUCAAGAACUGAACUGUGGCUUGUGCUGGGGUUCACUACUUCCUUACUGCAGCAGGAGCUGCCUGCUUCAUGAAGGCAUUUUCCACAAUCAUUUGCGGAAGUCACUGCUAAACUGGGAGAAGAGNUCUGAACUGUCUCCUCCAUCCUAACUGUUGUUUGANCCCCUGAUCAAGAGAAGACNCCAGGACAGGUAUAAUCCCUCUCUCUCUUUUCCCAAAACUGUUUUUCUCUUCNUUCACCCCACCUUCAGUUUUUAAAUUAAAGUGUUUGUGAGUGUUUUGGCCAGCAGUGGCCCAUGGCUUUAAGGCGGUUGUUCGUAACCCGCAGGAAGCAAUCGCUCGCUUUCCACGGGUUACNAACACCUGCNCUUAAAGCCACGGGNCGCCACUA